UGCCAGCCGCCGCGGUAAUACAGAGAUGGCAACCGUUGUUCGGAAUUACUGGGCUUAAAGCGUACGUAGGCGGAAAGAUAAGUUGGAUGUGAAAUAUCAUAGCUCACCUAUGGUGCUGCAUUCAAAACUGUCUAUCUUGAGUGCGGAAGGGGAGAGUGGAACUCCUAGUGGAGCGGUGAAAUGUGUUGAUAUUAGGAGGAACGUCGGUGGCGAAAGCGACUCUCUGGUCCGAAACUGACGCUGAGGUACGAAAGCUAGGGGAGCAAACGGGAUUAGAUA
RNAcentral lists this ribosomal RNA (279 nucleotides) under uncultured bacterium. RNAcentral describes it as "partial 16S ribosomal RNA". It matches the Rfam family "Bacterial small subunit ribosomal RNA", at positions 506 to 784 of the family's 1533-position model. The record is from RNAcentral.